UACGUAGGGGGCAAGCGUUAUCCGGAUUUACUGGGUGUAAAGGGAGCGUAGACGGCUUUGCAAGCCAGAUGUGAAAGCCCGGGGCUCAACCCCGGGACUGCAUUUGGAACUGUAUGGCUGGAGUGUCGGAGAGGCAGGCGGAAUUCCUAGUGUAGCGGUGAAAUGCGUAGAUAUCACGCAGAACUCCGAUUGCGAAGGCAGCAUACCGGCGCCCUACUGACGCUGAGGCACGAAAGCGUGGGUAUCGAACAGG
Molecule: ribosomal RNA, 253 nt
Filed under: uncultured bacterium
Lineage: Bacteria
Description: partial 16S ribosomal RNA
Rfam family: Bacterial small subunit ribosomal RNA
Source: RNAcentral